GAAUAACAAUAUCGUAUUCUAAAGACAGCUGGUGGAGCAAUCCGUAAAUCCAGCCGAGGAAUGUGCAAUGUGAAAACAGACGCUCUUUUCUCUUUGUCGAAAAGGCGUUUUUUUAUUGCGAUU
This is a regulatory RNA element of Ruminococcus sp. CAG:403, 123 nucleotides long. It matches the Rfam family "Ribosomal protein L10 leader". Rfam says of the family: This family is a putative r-protein leader autoregulatory structure found in B. subtilis and other low-GC Gram-positive bacteria. It is located in the 5' untranslated regions of mRNAs encoding ribosomal proteins L10 and L12 (rplJ-rplL). The record is from Rfam. NCBI's taxonomy places the organism in Bacteria, Bacillati, Bacillota, Clostridia, Eubacteriales, Oscillospiraceae.